ACUGUACUACUGGCCCUGCAAGAAAGGAUGGUUUGGCAAGAGGAGAAGUGACACAGCAACUAUAACCUGUGUGUGUGUGUGUGUGUGUGUGGGUGUGUGUGUGUGUGUGUGCUGUAAAUAAACCCUCCCUUUAUGCACACAUUUUCUUUUGCACACACACACACACACACACACACACACACACACACGACACAAAG
Long non-coding RNA from Alosa sapidissima (American shad), 197 nucleotides. RefSeq lists it as uncharacterized. Lineage: Eukaryota; Metazoa; Chordata; Actinopteri; Clupeiformes; Clupeidae. The transcript has 2 exons. The record is from RefSeq and is a predicted model, not a curated record.